RNAcentral lists this long non-coding RNA (469 nucleotides) under Medicago truncatula (barrel medic). Its description in RNAcentral is "long non-coding RNA (MTRU_LNC003264)". The record is from RNAcentral. Lineage: Eukaryota; Viridiplantae; Streptophyta; Magnoliopsida; Fabales; Fabaceae.
CCUUUGUGCAGCAGCUUUCUUUUUAUAGGUUCAUGUAUGUAACCUACUUCCUUUCUUUUUCCACAAAUUGUUUGUUUCCCAAUUUCUCCACGUGACCUAUUAUUGUCACUCUUCAAUUUAGGCCCAAUUAGUUUUCUUAAUGCUAGUGACACCACCAUGCCAUGUAUUAUCAACUCAAAAAUAUAUGCCACUAUGAUAUGCUUCCUGGACUCACUUUUCCUCUUUUGUUUAAUUCACACCACAAAAAGUAAAACUUCCAAAUUAGGGUUCCUAAAAUCGUGUCACGAAAUAGCCAUCGUGACACGUUUUAAUCAAUGUCGAAUGAACCUCAUCUUGUGCUCCAAAUCGUGAUACGUUUUCAACAACCGUGGCACGAUUUUGCUUUCUUCAAAAUCUUCUAUUUUUCUUGCUUUUCUUGCUGCUUAAGCUUGCUUGUGAACUCAAAAAUAUCAUAAAAAGACUCUAAAAA